UUGAACGCUGGCGGCAUGCUUUACACAUGCAAGUCGAACGGCAGCGGGGGCUUCGGCCUGCCGGCGAGUGGCGAACGGGUGAGUAAUGCAUCGGAACGUACCCCGUCGUGGGGGAUAACUACGCGAAAGCGUGGCUAAUACCGCCUACGCCCUGAGGGGGAAAGCGGGGGACCUUCGGGCCUCGCGCGAUUGGAGCGGCUGAUGUCGGAUUAGCUGGUUGGUGGGGUAAAGGCCUACCAAGGCGACGAUCCGUAGCUGGGCUGAGAGGAUGAGCAGCCACACUGGGACGGAGACACGGCCCAGACUCCUACGGGAGGCAGCAGUGGGGAAUUUUGGACAAUGGGCGCAAGCCUGAUCCAGCCAUGCCGCGUGAGUGAAGAAGGCCUUCGGGUUGUAAAGCUCUUUCAGAGGGAAAGAAUACUCCUGGUAACCCCAGUAGUUGACGGUACCCUUGAAGGAAGCACUGGCUAACUCCGU
RNAcentral lists this ribosomal RNA (477 nucleotides) under uncultured bacterium. RNAcentral's name for it is "bacterial SSU rRNA". It matches the Rfam family "Bacterial small subunit ribosomal RNA", at positions 29 to 506 of the family's 1533-position model. The record is from RNAcentral.